AUGUGUCUGCCGCAGGACAAAGCCAAGCGCCGCUCACCCUAUUCCUGUUCCCAGCCCGGCGCUGCGGGUCGGGGCUCCUGGGCACCCCCAGCCCUGCGCCCUGGGAAUAGCCCGGCCCCCGGCGACGUGUGUGGCGAAGGGGAAAUUAAUGGGGAGUGGUUGGAUGUGAAGGGUAGGAUCUGGAACACAGAGAGUACUUGGCAUGCUGAUGAGGCUGGAGCGCGGCCAGCCUGCGUUCCUGAGAGCCCAGUGUCCCCAGUGCGCCGUGGGCCAGGCAGAGAGGUCUUACUGGGGAGAGCAGUGGGGAGGGGGUGGUGCCUCCCGCCAGGUCAGGCUGCCCAGGUUAGGGAUAGGGAUAGGGUUAGUGCUGGGGUGAGGAUUAGGGUUAAGGUUCGGGUUAGGGUUAGAGUUUGGGUUAGGGUUGGGGUUUGGGUUGAGGGUGAGGUUGGGGUCAGGGCGAGGGGUGAGGUUGGGUUAGGGUUAGGUUAGGGAUGAGGUUGGGUUAAGGUUAGGUUAGGGAUGAGGUUGGGGUUAGGGUUAGGGUUAGGGUUAGGGCACCUCCAGGGAUGGAACAGCCCCAGGUCUCUGGACAGCCUGUGCCAGCCCUUCACCAUCGAGGAGGUGCUCCCCUAUGAGCAUUUCACGGCCUCCUCUGGACCUUUCCGCCAGCUCCAUGCCCCCAUGGCUGUCACCACACAAGCUGCAUGCUGCGCUCUGAGUGUGGCAUUCGAGGGCACGGUGACUGUCACCAGGCUGGAGGGGAUGGCUGCACCGUGUGUGGGCGAUGCGACCCAGGUGAGAGCUGUCUGGAGUGGGUUGGGCAUGCAGGAUUGCACCAGGGCUUUGCCACGCUGCUGUUCCCACUGCCAACGUCUCUGUAGUCCCCCGUGCCCAAUAAACCUAGUGUUGUUUAGGAGAAGCUACCUUCCCCAGCUGUGGCUCUGUGCUGGCUGCCAACCCUCUCCUGGGGUGAAGGCUUCUUUCCAUAGGUCUGUAUGUCCCUGGUGGGGCUGUUAAGCUCAGCUUUGCCUUCCAGGCCAGACCCAGGGGCUCCUCCUGGGGUAGCAGCCAAGGAUUCCCGGGGGUGGCAGCCAAAAGCUGGCAUCCUGCUGGCACCACGGCAUGACGGGCACAGCCUUGGCACCAGGCUCUGAGCAGAGCAGCAAGCCGUGGCUGCACCGUGGUGACAAGGUGACAGGGUGUCCCC
Gallus gallus (chicken) is the source of this 1207-nucleotide long non-coding RNA. NCBI's taxonomy places the organism in Eukaryota, Metazoa, Chordata, Aves, Galliformes, Phasianidae. The record is from Ensembl.